CUGAACUAUCGAAACAGCCGGAUCCACUACCAAAAUCAAAAUACGAAAUUACCUCUCCGGGAGGUAGCUGGUAGCUGGCUAGCUGCUACUCUUGCUAGCCAAAGUAAGAAUCAAAGCUCGAAAUCGGAGGGAAAAAUGUCGCAGUUCUGGAAACCGGGCGCCGAGAAGCCUCGCAUCCUUGACGACGAGGAAGGCGGUGUCCUUUUCCUCGCCUCCUCUAUCUCAUCCUCUUCAUCUGGAUAUGGAUAUGCUAGCAUUGAAAAGCAGAGGCUGAGAUUGCCUGUGUACAAGUACAGAACAGCGAUUCUGUAUCUGGUGGAGACUCAUGCCACUACUGUUAUCGUUGGCGAGACCGGUAGCGGCAAAACCACACAGAUUCCUCAGUAUCUUAAGGAGGCAGGUUGGGCUGAUGGUGGGCGUGUCAUAGCUUGCACCCAACCAAGAAGAUUGGCAGUCCAGGCAGUUGCUUCAAGGGUGGCUGAAGAGAUGGGGGUCAAGCUUGGAGAGGAAGUUGGCUACACAAUUCGAUUUGAGGAUCUUGCAAAUUCAGGUGUCACAAUGAUAAAAUUUCUCACUGAUGGGGUUUUGCUUAGAGAAAUGAUGGAUGAUCCACUUUUGACCAAGUAUAGUGUCAUAAUGGUAGAUGAGGCUCAUGAAAGGUCUAUUUCGACUGACAUUUUACUGGGCCUGCUGAAAAAGAUCCAGCGCCGUCGACCUGAGCUGCGCUUGAUUAUUUCAUCUGCUACAAUUGAAGCGAAAUCUAUGUCUGCUUUCUUUCAGACCAGCAAAAGGCGUCGAGGACUUGAAGCAGAUGAGCUUGGUCCAAGGAAAGAUCCUGCAAUUCUGUCAGUUGAGGGUAGAGGGUUUAAUGUACAAAUUCAUUAUGUUGAGGAACCCGUUGCAGAUUAUGUUCGCGCUGCUGUUUCUACAGUAUUGUCAAUUCAUGAUCAGGAACCUCCGGGUGAUAGUUUGGUAUUUCUUACUGGUCAAGAUGAUAUAGAUGCCGCUGUUCAGUUGCUUACUGAAGAAGCUCAAGCCAAUGGAAAGAAGAACUCUUCAGGAUUGAUUGUUCUGCCUUUGUACUCUGGUCUCUCACGUAUGGAGCAGGAUCUGGUGUUUUCUCCCACCCCUAGAGGGAAGAGGAAAGUAGUGAUAUCGACCAAUAUUGCUGAGACAUCUUUGACUUUGGAGGGAAUUGUCUACGUUGUUGAUAGCGGAUUCUCAAAACAGCGGUUCUACAAUCCGAUCUCAGAUGUUGAAAAUCUGGUAGUGGCACCAAUAUCCAAGGCAUCUGCUAGACAAAGGGCUGGUAGGGCAGGAAGAAUUCGACCUGGGAAGUGUUACAGGUUAUAUACAGAAGAAUACUUUAUCAAUGAAAUGCCAGCUCAGGGGAUCCCUGAGAUGCAGAGGUCAAAUCUUGUUUCCUGUGUGAUUCAGUUAAAAGCUUUGGGCAUAGACAAUAUAUUGGGCUUUGAUUGGCCAGCAUCUCCAGCUCCUGAAGCAAUGAUUCGAGCACUUGAAGUCCUUUAUUCACUAGGAGUCCUUGAUGAUGAUGCUAAACUUACUUCACCAGUUGGAUUUCAAGCAGCAGAGAUUCCACUAGACCCAAUGAUUGCAAAAAUGAUGUUAUCUUCAAGCCAACUUGGAUGUUCAGAGGAAAUCAUUACCAUUGCUGCUGUUCUCUCCAUCCAGUCUAUUUGGGUUUCUACCAAAGCACAAAAGGAACUAGAUGAAGCUAAGUUGAGAUUUGCAGCUGUUGAGGGCGAUCAUGUUACUUUCCUAAAUGUUUACCAAGGGUUUCUUCGAUCUGGAAAAUCUUCACAGUGGUGUCAUAAGAACUUUGUCAAUUACCAUGCUAUGAAAAAGGUCAUUGAAAUUAGAGAACAGCUGAGGAGAAUAGCACUGAGGAUAGGCAUAGUCUUAAAAUCAUGUGAAAGAGAUAUGCUGGUUGUAAGAAAGGCUGUAACUGCUGGGUUUUUUGCAAAUGCAUGUAAUUUAGAAGCAUACAGUCAUAACGGGAUGUACAAGACUGUUAGAGGCUCUCAAGAGGUCUAUAUUCAUCCUUCAUCUGUGUUGUUCAGAGUAAAUCCAAAGUGGGUUAUUUACCAGUCUCUAGUCUCCACUGAUCGACAAUACAUGCGAAAUGUAAUAACCAUCGAUCCUUCUUGGCUAACAGAGGCUGCGCCACAUUUUUUCCAGCAUCAACGACCAGAUCCCAUUGGUCGCUGACUACUUAUUUAUUAAGUGCAUAUGAACUUGAUAACAGCUUGGCGUGGUUGUGAUCAUGAUAAUAGAAAUUGUGUACCAUUAUUUUAUUAGAAAAAAUUUCUUGUUAGUAAUCAUUUUUUUUGUCUAUUAUUUUCUCUCGAUGUAAAUGGGGAUUUCUGGCUCAUUACAUGAUCUAUUGUGGAGAGUUCCCUGCAUGUUGUACCUUGAUUUAUAAGCUGAUUGUAUUUAUACACUCAUGCUUCGGUUUCAUUUUGGUUUAGAAUUGGAAUUAAAAACUGG
This 2508-nucleotide unclassified non-coding RNA is filed under the name Hevea brasiliensis (rubber tree). Lineage: Eukaryota; Viridiplantae; Streptophyta; Magnoliopsida; Malpighiales; Euphorbiaceae. The record is from RNAcentral.